RNAcentral lists this small RNA (129 nucleotides) under Arabidopsis thaliana (thale cress). RNAcentral describes it as "ATSL273240". The record is from RNAcentral. Lineage: Eukaryota; Viridiplantae; Streptophyta; Magnoliopsida; Brassicales; Brassicaceae.
UGAUGAGCUGUUCCAAGUUCAGGAUGGGGAGACUCUGCAGUCAGAAGAGGUCAGCUAUGUGCAGAACCAAGGAGGUUACAACAAAGGUUUCAACAACUUCAAGCAGAACCAUCCCAAUCUGUCUUACAA